AAGAGUUCUACAGUCUC
This 17-nucleotide small RNA is filed under the name Arabidopsis thaliana (thale cress). RNAcentral's name for it is "ATSL125630". Lineage: Eukaryota; Viridiplantae; Streptophyta; Magnoliopsida; Brassicales; Brassicaceae. The record is from RNAcentral.